CAAAACCAAGAACCUGGAACCUACCCUGUCACAGGUUCCGGGGUCUGUUCCAGGUUCCUACAGGUUCUUUUUUUUUUUUCAUUUUCAAAAUAAACUAUGCAACAAUUGCUCAAUCCCGCUAUUGGGUAAGAUUUUAAGGAAAAGCUGUGUUUGAUGUUAUAAAACAGCAUUUUCAGGUUCCAACAGGUCCUAAUGAGGUUAAAACAUUAAAAUCAGACUGCCUUUGUUUGAGCAACUGCACAUAGGUUUAAGUAGAAUGUAAAACCAAAAACAUAGUAACUCAUUUCUCGAAGAAAACUAUGUAAACACAACCAUAUAGCCCAGCAUAUCAGAAAUAUACAUUUUAUUUUGGAUUCUAGUAAUUUGCUUUUCAUAAACACUACAUCCCUUUACAAAAAAAUGGGCAACAAAUAAAUUGUGAAAAGCUGAAAAUGGUAGAACAAACAGUACUUGUCCCAUUCAAGGAAGAAGUCACUGUGAAUAGAAAAAUGGAGGAAUUGUACAAUGGGUUCAAGAAUAAACUUACGACAAAGUGGGGAUAAUUGAGAGUCGAAGUUUCGUAGUCCCCUCCUUCUCCACAAAUGUUAAUUCCAUACAACCUGGUCUUCUGUGUUGUUCACAACUUUGAGAUAGCAAUAGCUCUGCUUUUCCAACUCAACUGUUUACAUAUAUUUGAACAUCAGAAUCCAUCCAUUAACAUGAGAGAGCUAGAAAGGAAGGCCCUCCUAGGUCACAAAGUAAGAAAAAGCUGACAUAAACAGACAUUUUUCAUAUAUCAAACUCUCCAUAUAAUCAUCUAAUGCAGUAUAUACGAGCAAACAUUAAAAGAUCAUGCUUCUGGAUAUCUAACCUAAUUUUACCAGUCAAAAUGCAAACAAGAUAAAAUUUGAAUCUUCCCCUUAUCACGGAGAAGAAUGAACAAUUUAUUCCAUUAUUAAGGACGAAAGAGACCGUUAUGUAGUUUAUGUCCAUAAGCACAGAUAACCAAAUUAUGAAAGGAAAACAAGGGUGCAAUACAAGUACAUGAGCAUUACUAAAUGCAGAAAUGACGUGACAACAUGCCUUCCCCUGCAAAUAAAGAGUCCAAGUUCACUUUCAACUAGCAAAAGGAAUGUUAAACAAGUAUUUGGCCCUCAACCAAAUAAAAACCUCAGUCAUUGGCCUCCUUAACAACAGGUCCAGAA
Molecule: long non-coding RNA, 1184 nt
Filed under: Eucalyptus grandis
Lineage: Eukaryota; Viridiplantae; Streptophyta; Magnoliopsida; Myrtales; Myrtaceae
Description: long non-coding RNA (EGRA_LNC003693)
Source: RNAcentral